AGUGAACGCUGGCGGUAGGCCUAACACAUGCAAGUCGAACGGCAGCACAGUAAGAGCUUGCUCUUACGGGUGGCGAGUGGCGGACGGGUGAGGAAUACAUCGGAAUCUACUUUUUCGUGGGGGAUAACGUAGGGAAACUUACGCUAAUACCGCAUACGACCUACGGGUGAAAGCAGGGGAUCUUCGGACCUUGCGCGAUUGAAUGAGCCGAUGUCGGAUUAGCUAGUUGGCGGGGUAAAGGCCCACCAAGGCGACGAUCCGUAGCUGGUCUGAGAGGAUGAACCGCCACACCGGAACUGAGACACGGUCCAAACUCCUAAGGGAGGCAGCAGUUGGGAAUAUUGGGCAAUGGGCGCAAGCCUGAUCCAGCCAUACCGCGUGGGUGAAGAAGGCCUUCGGGUUGUAAAGCCCUUUUGUUGGGAAAGAAAAGCAGCAGGUUAAUACCCCGCUGUUCUGACGGUACCCAAAGAAUAAGCACCGGCUAACUUCGUG
This 492-nucleotide ribosomal RNA is filed under the name uncultured bacterium. RNAcentral's name for it is "partial 16S ribosomal RNA". It matches the Rfam family "Bacterial small subunit ribosomal RNA", at positions 29 to 507 of the family's 1533-position model. The record is from RNAcentral.